AGAAAAGGUGUUUAUUUUAUAUGAAUAAGUUAUUAGUUGUUUUUAUUUUUUGUUGAUAUCAAUAUUUAUGGUACAUGUACUAUUUUCCUUUGCUCAAAAUCACAUGAAAUUUGGCUCUAUAAAAUGGCUCAAUACGAUGAAUGUUGUGCACUUAGAGCUGUUCCAUUACAACAUACAUGGUACAUUGUACCCAAGGAAGGCAAAGUGUAAUUUGUGUAAAUGAGGUUGCCAUCUCUAGAAGGUAUUAUAAAACUUUUCUUACAUUUUCUCAGUACAAAAUAAGAAAAUUUAAAUAUACAUGUAUCUGAUUCAUUUUUUCUUCAAUAACCAUUCAAAUCAUUUAAAAAGAAAAUUUAGGAGGUUGGAGAAAUUUUAUCAUUAUUUAUGAAGUAUGGAAUCUCUAAUUUUGAGGAAAUGAAUAAACUUAUCCUUUCUACUGAAUUGUU
RNAcentral lists this long non-coding RNA (446 nucleotides) under Mytilus galloprovincialis (Mediterranean mussel). The record is from RNAcentral. Lineage: Eukaryota; Metazoa; Mollusca; Bivalvia; Mytilida; Mytilidae.